AGAACCGUCACUGUUGUGAAGAAAAGAUGGUGGAAUCACCAGGACCACGAAUGGAAACGCUCUUUAGAAAAGCAGUUUGAAGAAACUGACUUUCUCCUUGUUCUGUAAAGUGCACAGGGCGGCACUGCGGGCAUUCAGAGGGAGGAGGGCCCUUCCUGUUUGAAAAAGCCCCAGGGCUUUUUCCCCAUACAGACCUGAUCACCUGGAUUAAAAUAAAACAAAAAUACACGGCAGCCAAGUAGUUUGUAUCAUGCUUAUAUCUCAGAUCACUAGAACCUGGCCUGAUGGGUUUAUAUGUUUGUAUGUAUUUUUAAAUGAAUAUUUUAAAAUAAAACUCAGUGAAAUCGUCACAGCAAACUGAAGAUGAUUCUUCCUUUUAGGCCUUCAUAGGUUUGAAUGUUUGAACCUAUGUUUACUUUUGAUAGGAAAAAAAUUGAGGAAAGCAAAUAACAUUUUUUCUCAGAAGGUGAAUCAACACAACCAGACCGUAAACUCUCUUAAAGGUAGGGUUAUUUCUUUCUUCACUCUGUACAUAUAGCAGGCACUUAGGUACUAAAACAAAUUUGUUGA
This 570-nucleotide long non-coding RNA is filed under the name Homo sapiens (human). RNAcentral describes it as "HSALNT0302529". Lineage: Eukaryota; Metazoa; Chordata; Mammalia; Primates; Hominidae. The record is from RNAcentral.